UGGACACAGACAGUAACGUUAUUUUAUUCUUUACUCUGUUAAAGCUUGUGACUCAUUGCUCCAUUUGGGCAUGGUCAAAAGGUAAAUAACGAUCUAAGGUGUAGCUGGUGCAUCAAAAUAACAUGGGAAGAAGUGGAGCCUGGGAAAUCAGAUGCCUCUCAGCGCAUUAAAAUAUACCAGCCGACAGAGAUGGUUUGCAGAGAGAAUUUUGUGGCAUCCUCAUAUUUAGCUCAUUUUAAGUCGGUCUUGCCAAUUUACACAGAAAAUAGAAAGAAACUUGCUUAUGCCCAGGCUUCCUGCCUCUGAUCAUACAUUCUUAACCCUCUUCUUCGCAUGUAUGAUUUUUAUCCACUUGUAUUUUACACGGUUAGCAGUUGGAUAUUAGUUAUUUACGCACAGUAAGACAAGGGAGGAAACAAAAUAACAGCUGCA
This 432-nucleotide unclassified non-coding RNA is filed under the name Hevea brasiliensis (rubber tree). The record is from RNAcentral. Lineage: Eukaryota; Viridiplantae; Streptophyta; Magnoliopsida; Malpighiales; Euphorbiaceae.